This 459-nucleotide ribosomal RNA is filed under the name Nanna brunneicosta. RNAcentral's name for it is "partial 16S ribosomal RNA". It matches the Rfam family "Bacterial large subunit ribosomal RNA", at positions 1922 to 2591 of the family's 2925-position model. Lineage: Eukaryota; Metazoa; Arthropoda; Insecta; Diptera; Scathophagidae. The record is from RNAcentral.
UUUAAAUGGCCGCAGUAUACUAACUGUGCAAAGGUAGCAUAAUCAUUAGUCUUUUAAUUGAAGGCUGGUAUGAAUGGUUGGACGAGAUAUUAACUGUUUCAUAAAAAUUUUUAUUAGAAUUUUAUUUUUUAGUAAAAAAGCUAAAAUUUAUUUAAAAGACGAGAAGACCCUAUAAAUCUUUAUAUUUACAUUAUUAUAAUUUUAUAGAUUAUUUUUAUUAUGAUAAUAAUAAUAUUUUAUUGGGGUGAUAUUAAAAUGUAAUAAACUUUUAAUUUUAAAAAUCAUUAAUUUAUGAAUAAUUGAUCCGUUAUUAACGAUUAAAAAAAUAAGUUACUUUAGGGAUAACAGCGUAAUUUUUUUGGAGAGUUCUUAUCGAUAAAAAAGAUUGCGACCUCGAUGUUGGAUUAAGAUAUAAUUUUAGGUGUAGUCGCUUAAAUUUUAAGUCUGUUCGACUUUUAA